AAGUCGUAACAAGGUUUCCGUAGGUGAACCUGCGGAAGGAUCAUUAAAAGUAAUAAGUGCUCCAAGCGCUCAUUAUGAAACCCAUCUGUGUAUUUUACCUGUUGCUUCCGUGGGGCGUUGGCUUCGGCCGCCUCCGAUGAGGGUGAGAGCCCAGACUCGGGGAGUACCCACGGGAGGUAUUAUUAAAACCAUUGCUUUCAAUGAUGUCUGUCUGAAUUGUCUCAAUGAGAAAAGUUAAAACUUUCAACAACGGAUCUCUUGGUUCUC
This 267-nucleotide unclassified non-coding RNA is filed under the name fungal sp. RNAcentral describes it as "partial internal transcribed spacer region". The stretch from base 1 to 46 matches the Rfam family "Eukaryotic small subunit ribosomal RNA", at positions 1786 to 1831 of the family's 1831-position model. The record is from RNAcentral. Lineage: Eukaryota; Fungi.